CUUUAAAUACCAGUGUUGGCAUGUGAAACUCUUCAGUAGAGAACAGAAGUUUACACAACAGGAACCAAAACUACGGAGUCUGGAACCAUGAGGACGUUCAUUCUGCUUGCCUGCAUACUUCCAGCUGUCUAUUUGAUGCCAGUCCCAUCUGAGCAAUACGGCGGAAGCUCAAGUUAUGAGGGUUUUAGUGCAUUCUACCAGCCAGCAAUUCAAAUCCCACAGCCAAUACCUAUUCCUAUUCCUUAUGACCCAACGCUGGGAACUGGUCUGCUGGGUUUGGGCUAUGGGUAUGGAGGCUAUGCUGGCUUCAAUGGAUACAAUGGAUAUAAUGGAUAUAAUGGAUAUAAUGGAUACGGAGCAGUUCCAUAUGGUCUAAGGGCACCACGGACAUUUGGCUGA
RNAcentral lists this long non-coding RNA (399 nucleotides) under Lepisosteus oculatus (spotted gar). Its description in RNAcentral is "lncRNA (ENSLOCG00000021339.1)". Lineage: Eukaryota; Metazoa; Chordata; Actinopteri; Semionotiformes; Lepisosteidae. The record is from RNAcentral.